GGGCACUGGUAAGGGCGUAUGGUGGAUGCCUUGGUAGACAGGACCGAUGAAGGACGUGGUGGCUGGUUCUCUCCGAAAUGCAUCUAGGUGCAGCGUCGUGUUAUUGCUUACAGGGGGUAGAGCUACUGGAUGCUUGCGGGCCCAUACCGGGUACCAAUAGCAGCCAAACUCCGAAUACCUGUUAGGUUUAUCACGGCAGUGAGUCGGCGGGGGAUAAGCUCCGUCGUCAAAAGGGAAACAGCCCUGAUCGUCGUCUAAGGUCCCGAAGCGCGUGCUAAGUGGGAAAGGAUGUGGAGUCGCAUAGACAGCCAGGAGGUUGGCUCAGAAGCAGCCAUCCUUGAAAGAGUGCGUAACAGCUCACUGGUCUAGUGGUUCCGCGCCGACAAUGUAGCGGGGCUUAAGCACGCCACCGAAGACGCGGCUGCAUGAUUUGUUUCAUGCGGGGUAGGAGAGCGUCCUGUAUGGGGUGAAGCGGCAGUGUGAACUUGUCGUGGACUUUACAGGAGUGAGAAUGCAGACAUGAGUAGCGAGAGACGGGUGUGAAUCCCGUCCGCUGAAUGACUAAGGGGUCCGGGGCCACGUUCGUCGUCCCCGGGUGAGUCGAGUCCUAAGGCGAGGCCGACAGGCGUAGUCGAAUGGAUGAACGGGUUGAUAUUCCCGUACCGGUGUUACACCGUUCGAACUGAAUCUGAGAGUACUAACCUUCAUUUGCUGGUUGAUUGCCUUUCGGGGUUGUUGGCUGGUUUGUGUUGGGCCUGUAUCGCUAGUAGGUUAGCAUGGG
Molecule: ribosomal RNA, 781 nt
Filed under: Shewanella sp. DW31
Lineage: Bacteria; Pseudomonadati; Pseudomonadota; Gammaproteobacteria; Alteromonadales; Shewanellaceae
Description: partial 23S ribosomal RNA
Rfam family: Bacterial large subunit ribosomal RNA
Source: RNAcentral